This 75-nucleotide transfer RNA is filed under the name Candidatus Falkowiibacteriota bacterium. RNAcentral's name for it is "tRNA-Pro". It matches the Rfam family "tRNA". From Rfam's summary of the family: Transfer RNA (tRNA) molecules are approximately 80 nucleotides in length. Lineage: Bacteria; Candidatus Falkowiibacteriota. The record is from RNAcentral.
CGGGGUGUGGCCCAGUUGGUCUAAGGCGUCUGGUUUGGGACCAGAAGAUCGUGAGUUCAAAUCUCACCACCCCGA